This is a non-coding RNA of Psilocybe cubensis, 99 nucleotides long. Lineage: Eukaryota; Fungi; Basidiomycota; Agaricomycetes; Agaricales; Agrocybaceae. The record is from the annotation of a RefSeq genome assembly.
GGCGCUAUAGCUAAGUGGUUAAAGCGACAGAUUAGAAUUGUAACAAGUUCUACAAUCUGUUCCUCUUUGAGGGCGCAGGUUCAAAUCCUGCUGGCGUCG